This 189-nucleotide ribosomal RNA is filed under the name uncultured bacterium. Its description in RNAcentral is "partial 16S ribosomal RNA". It matches the Rfam family "Bacterial small subunit ribosomal RNA", at positions 1306 to 1500 of the family's 1533-position model. The record is from RNAcentral.
UGCAACUCGACUCCAUGAAGCUGGAUUCGCUAGUAAUCGCGCAUCAGCCAUGGCGCGGUGAAUACGUUCCCGGGCCUUGUACACACCGCCCGUCAAGCCAUGGGAGUCGGGAGUGCCUGAAGUUCGUGACCGUCACAGGAGCGACCUAAGGCAAGACCGAUGACUGGGGCGAAGUCGUAACAAGGUAAC